Molecule: non-coding RNA, 13213 nt
Organism: Rattus norvegicus (Norway rat)
Lineage: Eukaryota; Metazoa; Chordata; Mammalia; Rodentia; Muridae
Source: RefSeq, a predicted model, not a curated record
UCCUCCUCCUCCUCUUUCUCCUCCUCCUCCUCCUCUUUCUCCUCCUCCUCUUUCUCCUCCUCCUCCUCCUCUUUCUCCUCCUCCUCUUUCUCCUCCUCCUCCUCUCUCCUCCUCUUCUUUCUUCUCCUCCUCCUCUUUCUCCUCCUCCUUCUCCUCCUCCUCUUCUUCCUCCUCCUCUUCCUUCUCCUCCUCCUCUUCCUUCUCCUCCUCCUCCUCCUCUUCUUCUUCUUUUUCCUCUCAGAAAAAGAGAGUUUCCUCAUCUUUCUGGUAACUGAUCGUCCUGCGGCUAUGCUAUGUUCAGUAGCUUGGGGCAGUUUGCUUCUUGUUUCUCAACAGAGAAUCUUAUUGUGGGAACCAGAACAGGAGACAGGAAGCAGACUCACUUGAGAAAGAACUGCACCAGCUGUCCUACUCUCUGCAAAGUCCCUCAUUAUUCCCAAGUCACAUCCUAUUUCUCCCCUGGGACCACAUGUGGAUUGACCACUAAUGACUCAUGGUGCUAACCCCCUUUCCACCUCAAAAUCUAAAGUCAGUUUGGACUCCCAUCACAUCAGAUGGUUGAACUCUGUUAUUAUAGCUGCCUGUUGGUCCUCAUUAUAAUAUAUGAAGCAGGGAUUGCAAAAUGAAAGUCAGAGACUCAUUGGGUUUAGCAGCUGGGUUAGGAAUAAACCAAUUUAUACUUUCUUUUCGGGUACCUUGGCACCCGCUUCUCUGUGCUUAGUUUUCUUUGAGCACAUAUGGCUUUUGUAGCAACUUGGCCCUGUGAUUGCUGUGGCUACUCUCUCUAAUGUAUAACACUAUUGUUAAAUGUUAUACUUGACAAUAAGUAAGCUUCCCCAAAAUGUUUAAAUCUUCCGCUUCAGGCUCCAAAUAAGCAAGGCUGAUGGAAUAGUGGAAGACAUUUCAGAUAGAGGAUCUCAGGUGAGCUGUGGGAAUGUAGACAUAGCAAGAAAUAAUAUUUUAAAUAAAAUCAUUACCAAGAACAUUUGUAUACGAAGAAAAGCAAGAACGUGGACAUGGGACCUGCCUGCACCCAAUACAGACACAAACCAAACAAGCAAAUAGACCCCCAUAUAAAAACACAAGAUGUGGCCAGGAAAGGCCAGGUUCAGUGGUGGAUGAAUCUUUUUUCUACAAAGGUUUCCCCAACACGUAAACAGGGAAACACUUUCUUCCUCUUCUUCGCUUCCGUCUCAAAUGCUGGACAUUUUACAUGUGUAACCAUCAUUACAAGUACUCUCAAAGGAAAAGAAACAGAAACCAGGCAAAUCCUUGCAGGUAUCAAGGUGUUUCCUACUAAAUCAGUGCUGGCUUAGCAGGCCUAAAGACAGGCUCGCCGUGCUACACGUUCCCUGUUUCCUCAGACAACAACCUUGGAAAUGCAAGUUCAGCAGGCACCUGCUCUGCACACGAAUGAGGCAGGUGACCCAGUUGGACUUUGUGGCAAAUGCCUCUGGGCAGUGCCCAGGACUGAGCAGCACUGAGCAAACACAACAUAACUCAGUUUUCUCAGCUUAUAACGAAACUCUGACCAUUGCAAGCAGACAACACAGAAUAAAGAAUAGGGUAGGAUUCAUAUUGUGAGUAAAGGCAAUGAGCUAAUUUCUAUGGAUGGGGAUGUGGAUAUAUCCUAUCCCUUUGUGUGGGUUUGGGUUCUGGGUCAUUAUCAGGGUAACUAAGAGAUUAAAAAGAAAAGAAGAAAUAACAACAAUAAAAGGGGAAAAAGGGGUGUCAGAAGUUAGAGUUAAAAUUUACAUAGGAAGACUGCUGGUCUAUGUUGUAAAAUGAAACAGAUUUGUGAGCCAGAGGACCGAAGCCAAGUUGGUAGUCUACUUGCUGACUGCCUGUGGAUCUAUCUCACCAAAGUGCUUAACCUCGAUGAGCCUCGGUUUCUGUAGCUGCAAAGGGAAAUGAUGAUGUUGAAUUGUUGUAAAGAUCUUACACCAUUACAACUGCAUUACAACUUCAACUGCAGAGUCAAGCUCUCUAGCUGCAUGAAGGUCAGAGUGACGAGCAGACCUUGACACCUUGUGUCGCUUCAGCUUCUCCAUCUGCCUUUGAAUGUCCUGUUUGGGUUCUCCGACCUGAGUGCUUACUUAGUGUUGUAUUUUAGAAAGAAAGAAAGGAAGGAAGGAAGGAAGGAAGGAAGGAAGGAAGAGAAAAGAACCAAGGAUGUGUUUGACAGAGGUGAGGUAUGGUGAGGUGGAAGGGGUACCUGGUGAGCCCAUGCUGAGGCAUCCCUUCCCCCUGAGAGACCAGCCACUGUCAAACAGAGAGAGGGGGAGAGAGGGAGGGAGGGAAGGUUGGUCAAAAACACGUGGUAAGAGAUGGAGAGGGGAAUGGGAAGAAAGGAAAGGGGGCAGGGAGAGAAGGGACAGAGAAUAAGAAAGUAAGAGAGAGAGAGGAGGGGGCAAACAGCUCCUUUUAUACUAAGCCAGGCAUACCUGGCUGCUGCCAGGUAACUAUGGGGCAGAGCCUAGAAGGAAUGCUAACAUUUACUAUGUUUUUUUUUUUGUUGUUGUUGUUGUUGUUGUUUUUUUUUUACUAAUUUCACACCUUUAAAUCAUAUUGUUCCUUCCCCGACUUCAUAUUCUUUCUCUUAAACAAAACAAAACCCCAAAAUGAAAUAAAGCAAAAAGGACACACACACACACACACACAUGGAGUUUGAUAUUUUUUGUCCAACUGCUCCUGAGUAUAAGGCCUGCCCUGAAAUAGGGUUGGCAUAACUAAGGUAACUGCUAUGAUGAGGACUGGUUUUGCCUCCUCCUGCAGUUACCAACUGUUAGCAGCUUCUGGGUUAGGAGCUCGGUUUUGUACCUACUUCCCCUUCUCUGUGUGGGAUUUUGUCUGUCUUGAUCCUGGGCAGGCCUUGUGUAUGUUGUAACAGACUCUGUGAGACAAUGUGUUUAUCAGUCCUGUUGCAUUUGGAAGACGGUGUUUCCUUGUGGUCAUCCACCACCUCAGGCUCUUUCCACUUCCUCUCCACGUGGAUCUAGAGACUUGAGAGGAAGGGAAGCCCGUUUAGGGCUGAGUGUUCCAAGGUUUGUUGGCAUCUGACUUUAAGAAUAAGAAGUUAUUGAAAAACAUUUGAAAUUCACUUAUGUGAAAGAAAAAAAAUUAGUCAUAUCAGACCAAGACCCUACUUGGAGUUACCGCUCUAUGCCAAGGAAUCAAUUUGGUGCAAAGACAACCUCCCUGCCAUGAUGCAUGUUCACUGGACAGAAAGAGCUCUGGUGAGAUGGAGGGGACAAAUGAAAUCCUUUUAAUUGCUUCAUUGACAAGGGGAAACAGUGCUAAGCCAGGAAAGCAGCCAAAUGUGUGGGCCCUUAAUUCUUUGUGUGGGCUUUAAUUUCACUUCCUGCUAGAAGUUCACAUUAGCCUCUAUACAGUGGGCCCUGGGGUUAACAAAGGACAGGUCAUCUUAGUCCGGAGGCUGGUGGAACCCAAUAGAGGCUAUGGAGGCCAAUGUUGGGUCUCCCAAUUCCUGCUUGAGAGGAAUCCCAAGGAGGACCAGGUGUCACGCCAGGGGCCACUAGAUUUAGAGUAAGAUAGCUACAUAGUCAAUGCUGGGGGAGAACCAACUGGAUGGACAUGGCAGGCCCUGCGAAGCCAACAGACAAAACCAUAGGGUCCUUAUUAACUGAGUUAAGCCGUGCAGGUCCCAUGCUCCAAGGCCAAGGCCACUUGGGAUCAGGAUGGUCCCGGGUGCAAUUGAGUCCCUGUUAUUCUAGACUCCAUCUUGAAGAAAGGAAAAUGAGCAUUAAGGACAACAAUCCACCCCAAAGCUCACCCACAGAGUCCGGCAGGAACAACAGUUUAAGGGUGCUGUGCCUUGGGGGAGCCUCUUCCAUGCAGCCCAGCUGCUAAGCAAGGGAAGUCUCGUGCAAAGAGAUUAUCAUCUCUGCACAUCUGGAUUAUUCUAUGAGUCAGUGAAGGCCCAUUAUAUAAUGUUUCCUGAGCAAUACCAUCCAUUCAGCAUGUGAUGGAGAAAGUUUCCUGUCUGAGCACAUACUAGAGAGUAGACCGAAGGAAGAAUGCAGUGUGGUACAGUCAUCGCCUUUCAGGCCAUCGGAGUGUGGUGGGAGAGCCAUCUCAGGUGAUUUUUCAAGGCUCCUUACCCACCACUUGUGUCGACAAGGUGAGCACCUACCCAUCUUCCGGUUCUCAGUUACACCGGUGGAAUUCCCAUCCCCAACUGUUUGGUAUAAUGGGACUUUGAGCCUAGUAAUAAUUUUAUACCUUGCUAAGUAAGUAUUUGAUGAAUUCUCUUCUAGACUCUAAGAUAUUAGGCUAAGCAUAGUAUGAUUCCCCUCAUUCCCUUCCUUCCUUCCUUUUCUCUCUCCUCUGUCUUCCCCUCCCCUCCCUUCCCCUAUUCUCUCUUCUUUUUCCUCUUUUCCCUCUCCUCUCCCCUGUCUUUCCUUUUCUCUCUGUCCCCUUUCUCUCCUUCUCUCCCUCUCUCCUUGCAUCCUGGGCCCCACUGUCUUGCUCACAUUUUAUUUUCUGUACCUGUGCAGUAAAAGCCUGAGCACACGCCUCUCACGGUGUCGAGGACUGCCCCCACCCCCUGCCACAGCACAUGUUUCCAAGUUUUGAAAACCUUGCCAUGUACAUUAUCUGGCUGGCAAGCAAGCAGAAGGGCCCGAGAGAUCCCACCCUCAGGAUACAGCCCCAGCUGCUUUAAAUAGAAUCUGCUGUCAGAGGACAAUUGCUGAACCAGCUUUGGGGGCCAAGUUCCAGUGCAGGAUGUGAGCAAUGGGGCCCUGCGUGAUGUUUCCUGUGAAGCAUGCCCACGUGGAUUUUAUACAUCUCACACACAUAUAAUGUGUGUUAACACAUAGUGCAUGUAUAACACUUUAACCGUUUAUAUGUGUUUCACAAGACAGGAGUUAAGGAGGAAACUGGAAAAGUGCCAGUGAGGCCAUACAUUAGGAAUCUGUCAGUCAGAGAUGGUCAGGAAAUAAUAAGGAGCUCAAGUAAGUUAAUGAGGAGGGGUAACAGUCAGCACUAAAAUUGAUUAAAAAAAAUAAUAAUGGCUAGGGAGAAAAUGGGGGAGAAUUUUUUAAAGAAAAGUUGCCCACAAAAAAAGGUAACUGCAGAACAGCAAUCUUUUAGGAGGUUAAGCGAGGGAGGGGUGAGCCAUGCCUUCGUCACUCCCGUUAUUCUGAACUGUUUGAUUUGUGGGCAUAUUUAGGUUCCCGGUGAAAACACAAAACGGCACUCAGAGCAUUCUCCAGCCUUAUUUCAUCUUGACACUCGUCAUUAUCACUAAGGAGCCAGGGAUGUGGAAAGCCACUUAGGGACGUAAAGAUAGAGGUUUUAAAGUGGAAAAGAAUUAGGUCAGACGCCCGGCCCCCUCGCCUGCUUUUUCUCUGAACACUGGCCUUGCACAAUAUUAACUCUUUCUUUACUCCUCGGCAGGGACUCUACCACUGCUUGAGAGAAAGAGAGAGGGGAGUGGGGUGGAGGGAUUUCAGGGUAGCUACAGGUCUCCUGGCCUCGGCCAUUGGCCAUUUGUUUUCUCAUGGGGCUCUUCCUACACUCCCGCUCUCCCACAUCUCACCUCCCUCUCCUCCCACCACACCACUCUCUCACGCCAAGGUGACAUACUUUGAAGUCCUUUGUCGUAUCAAUAUUUUCUGUGUGCAGUAUAAUUUGUGUGUGGACUGGGGCUACAUGCACAAGAUUCUAAGUAUUCACAGGCAUGAACUCUCCUCUCUGCAGAUUUACCAUGCUUGUGUCUGACUCUCCAAGAUGCCGUGUAGUGCUCUGUAUAAUAUAUAGCAGACUGUCAAUACAUUUUAUCUCAACUGUUAAGACCACACUAUCUUAAACUACUUAGGGGCAUAUGUCUCCUGUUUUUCCUUCCCUUUCAGCAUGUCAUAGGAAUUAAAAAUACUGCACUGUUCCAUCCAGUAUAAACUUCGAAGGAUUUUAUAGAAAUUCAAAAUGCAUGCUACAUCCAAUUUAUGAGCUCAUUAACUUAGCAUGCACAGAGGAGACGGGGAAAGGAAACGAGCUGAAAUAGAAUGAAGCUUCCCCUGUCUGAUUUUCAUAAGAACUUUUCAAAAUUCAAAAUACAUAUCAUGUAUGAAAAUAUAUAAGAAUAUUAAAAUAUGUUCAUACAGUGUAUCUCACUCUGUCCUUCAACACUUUGUGUGGUGAACCCUUCGUCCUGCCUUAAGAAGACAAGCCAGAUAGGCAGUCAGUCUGUCACGGUCAGUUUGGUUGUACACUGAGCUUUUGCUUGGAUCUUGACAAAGGAAGACUUUUGACCCCAGAAAAGACACUUUACCCUUCUUGGUCUUGAUGUUCACAUUUGGAAAAAGGGACUGAGCCUGGACGAUGGCCAACAUUUUCUAGCUUUCCUUACUACCUGUCUCCUGGGACCUCUAAACUCAAGAGCCUAAACUCUCAGGGAAAAGGAUGUCCCAGUGGCCCAUAAGGAGCUUGGACACUGUUCUGGAGCCUGUAGACAACCAGGACCCUGAUUCCUAAGGAUGGAGGGACAAGGAGUGUCCUUCAUUGAGGAAAUGCCAAACAAGAAUCUUACACCGAGGUUCUUCCUGUAGGCUGCCCGAGGAAGGAAGGGGAGCCUCCUGUUGCCCCUCACCCUAGUGCAUUGUGCUGACUCUCACUGCCUAUCAGAACAUUGUCUUCAUUUCUCUGCAAUGGGCCAACUCGAGCUUAGAAGGCAACUAACUGGGCAGUUCGAUAGUAGAUGCAGGAGGAAACCAGGCUGGCUGCAGAGCUGACUUUUCCUUUCCUAGAACCACGAUUCCCAAAGCACCUCCAACCCACCCAGCUCAUGGAGAAGGUGCCCCAAGGGGUGUGGGAGAUCCUAACAUCUCAGUCUAUAUGGAAUUCUUUAUGCCUUUGGGCAUGAAGAAUGUUUUGACCCCUUGCACAUCAUCAGAAAGAGACCAUGACCUGCAAAUCUAAAGUUGCUAACCUUUCUUGUGAAGCUUAUGGACUCCUUUGCAUAUAAUAUGCAAAAAUGCAUAUUGUACUCAAAACUCAUGUAAGAUGCAAAAAUAUGCAUAGCAAAUGCAAAAAUCUAAGUAAGUGCACAGAGAUAAAAAGGCAUUGGUUACAUUAAAAUUGAAUUCUCAUUUUAAUAAAGUGAUGUGCAUUCUUCUUUAUUCUAAUCUGUAUUCUAAUCAAAGUAGGGAUUCAUGCAGAAGAUACGUUGAUUCUCUUUCCAGCAUCUUCAAUGUAACAGAAAAGGAUCUGUGAUCUCUAGAGUGACAAGUUCACAGUGACAGGCACUGCCACUGUGUUUGUUAUUUACUGCCUAGACAACUUAUCGACUGGUAUAAUCAAACAAUGGUGCAGUGCCUAUGUUCCGAGACUCCAAAGUGGCUUAGCUCUGAGUCACCUAUCAGAUUGCAGGCCAGCUAUGGGCCAGCACUAUUGUCAUUGAAAGGGUGGCAGAAAGGCUUCCAAAUCAUUCACGUGGCUAUUCACAGGACUCAGUGCCUCACUAGCUGUUGGCCAGAUGCCCAAGUUCCUUGUCACAUGUUAGACAUGGCCACUGACUUCCCUAUGUGAGUGAUGGGAAAAUAAAAGACUGAGACAGAAGCCACAGUUUCUCAUAUCUGAAUCUCAGGAGUAUCACUUCUCCAGUGUCCUAUUGGUCACAAUGUGAAGCAAGAGUUCACUGGAGUGUGAGCACCAGGCAGUCACUGGAGCCACCAGGACACGGACCACCAUGUCUGCAUUCAUAAUAGAAAGAUGCCUACAUUUCAGCAAAACUUCAUGAAAAUAAAAAUACGAUUUCUCCUCCAAGUCACAGACUCCAACUUAACGGUGCUAGAUAGGAGAGCAUUCAGGUUCUCAGACUGUUUCUAGCCUAUUUCCUCUCUGAUGCAAUCUUUCAGCAUUACUGAAGUCUAAACAAAAAAUUCACACAUUGAGAUAUAUAUAUUAUAUUGAUAUUGAUAUUUGAUAUGCUCAUUCAUGAUGAAAAGACCACCACAAGCAAGCUGAUUAGCACAUCCCCGUCAGAGGCCCCAAAGUUAUUAUUUUGAAACUUUACACCCUUUGAUCAGCAUCUCAGUCCCUUCUCCCUGGCCUCCGAUGACCUCCAUUGAACUGUCUAUGACUUUGGCUAUUUUAGAUUACACAUAUGAAUGAGACCAUGUAGCACUUGGCAACUUUGCUGUAUCCGUCUUAUUUCGCUUAGCACAGCUGGACUCAUCCAAUCAUCCUGAAUACUCUUAUCUUGAGACCUCAAAACUUCAGGUGAGGUUGUAUGGCUGAGGCAUUUGUACCACAAACAUCUCUCUUCCUGCACAAAAGGGUGAGCUUAUUUUUUGCACAGUGGACUGCUUCACUCUGGAACAAAGAUCAGAAAGGCUUCCUUUCUAUUAUAAGAAAUUAGAGUUCCCCCAAGUUUUGGGUUCCUCUCCUGUAAUAACUUCCCACGCAGGCACACGUCACCGGGGCCUCUUUCUGUCAUUCUAUGCUAUCAAUGCUCAGAAAAUGACUACAAAUGCUUAUGCUCUUACUUCUCCUGCUGCUGCUUUGAGCAAUAACCCUUUGUCUCUUCCUUUUGAUUUCUGGCUCCUGUUAGCAGCCAUGCAAUGGAGAAGCUUAACUUGCUAAUCCUCUUUUAUUCUCAGAGAAACAUCUCCAAUUACUCCAUCCAGGAAGCAAGACACUAUAAACAUGAGAUAAUUAUAGAAGAAAUGUAAGGUUGGAGAAAUUGAGAUGCUGAUGGCACAAAUGGAAAAGUCAUUAAAAAUGCCAGCAAACAUCACUGGAGAAAAUAUUGAAGAAAAUGAAAAUCAGAAACUCCAUAUAAUGAUCCAAAGUCUAAGUAAAGGGAGCUCCAGAAAUAGAAGAUUAAAAAAGGGAAAUCGAGGGGCCCAGUAGGGAAAGCCUGUUGGGCAGAAGUAGGCCCAGUAACAAGGGAUAGCAUCAGUACAUUUCAAAGCACUGGGAGGAGAGGAGGCUGAAUUUCACUGGCAGCUUCCAGAGAGUGCAACAGCUCCUGUGUAAAGGCUCAGUUAUGGGAAUUGCUUUAGAUCCCUAAACAUCUUCAGGGGAUGCUGAAGCAAUGGCAAAUUGCUCGUGAGAUAUCUUUUACCCAGCUAAACUGUCAAGUGAACAUGAAGCUAGAAUUAAAAACAGUUUCAAGUAGUCAAGGGCAGAAAGAGAAAACAUGAGGAGUACUUGGAAUUACAAUGAAGACAGUCUCAAGAUGGCAUUUAUACACAGGGACAAACAUGCAGUCUUGAGCUGAAGGUCAGAACACUUGACUUGGGCAAGACAUCUUAAAUUGCUACUGACAGAAUAGUCAAUAUAUUGACAAUGUUAACAGAGUAUUAGAACACUGGAGGCAUCUUUAGCUUGUGAGGGAGCCUCCAACACCUCUGAUUCCGGCUGUUCCCAGAUCUUGAGUGUACAAGGAAGGAGAUGUAAACUCUGUAACACUGUUCCAUGGUGUCUGUCUUCACAUGGUCAUGGUCAUAUAAACUCUGGAUGACAUAGUCUACAGUAUGGGAAAAUUACAUGGAGAUAAUGAGGGGGCAGGAAGCUUGUGUGUAAGAGAGAUGCUCCUCUGAAGGUGAGUAAGAGAGAUCUUGAAGCUUUGAGUUUGGGUGACCAUGAGAAAAGAAGAAGAAAUUUAAGUGCAUAACUCAGAAACAUGAAAGUAACUCUCCAAAGAGUUGAAGUCGGCGAAUGUGGUUGACUCCAAGAGCUACCAUGUGCUGUGCAUGCAGAUUUACUCUUGGCUUUGGAAAUUAGUCCAGUCUAUGUAUAAGUAAUGUGUGCAGAUGCAGUUUCCGUAAGACAACUGCCAAUGUUAACAAACAAACAAAAACUAAAAGACAACAGGCUGCCUAGAGAUGUUUCUUCCCCCUCCUCUUGUCACUGUGGUGGGCAGAUGCUUAACUGCAGGGGGAGCGGGAGGUGAGCUGUAGGGAGUCUGGUGGGUCUAAGGACAGCUUCUGUGCAGUCUCAGGCAGCAUCGGUAGCCAAACAAAUUCCUCAUUCCUUAGAGAAGACUCCUCAAAGAGGAGCUGUGGCCAUGAAUACAGCUUUCAGGACAUUCACCUUCCAACAAGGUCCCCCAAGAAAGGACAGAGAGAGCACAGAGACAGGCUUUGUCUGGGUAAAGAGCAGUUCAUUGACAGAAUUUGCCCUGUGAUUGACUUCUGGGUGCCUUAGGUCCUGAGAUCCUGGGAAAGAAAAAAAAAAUACUCCUUUUUGUUGUCGUUUUCUUCUUUAAUAAUUCAAACUCAGGAUAUUUAAAACCAGGCCAUGGAUGUCUGGGUCUAAUAAUCAGUGCCAUGGGGAAUAUGGAGAUGAAUUAUCAGAAAGCAAGUUUGCUUGUGGUUUAUGCCCCUCAUAGCACAUACUACAAGACUCAACCUCAAAGGCUCAUGCUAAGGUGGAAGUGAAAGACCCCCGGAACGGGGAGACCCUCACUCAAGUCUCCGGAUGAUGCGACCCCCCAAGAACUCACGUGAGACCGUCCUUGCUGUAAUAAACAUGAGGUUUAUUGAUAGGAACCAGUCCACUGGGCUCGAGACUCGUAUCCCACGCAGGGGCAGUGGAGCUCGACCCUCAGUAACUAAGACAAGGGGAAUUUAAAGGAAGAAACCUCAACCCAAGCGGGUAGGGAGGGCAUCAUUGAAAAAUGUCGAGAAUACCAGUGAAUCACAAGGAGGAGCUUCCUGUUUCUCAAGAUUGUUUACUUUAUGGCCCAUCAGUUCCUGGGAGAAGCUUCCUGCUUCUCAAGAUUAUUCUCUAAGAUUUCAAUCUAACUUUAUGGUCAGCUAGUACAGGUAGAGGGCAGGGUCUGGAAUUUGAGGUAUUUAGGGCUUUUUUAAACUUCUGACUUCUUAGCUGCAUUGUUUAUUCUUUCAGAAGGAGAGGCAAUGAGAGGUUUCCACAGGCAAAAAUGGUGGGCAAGAACAUUCCAGGCAGAGAGAGAGAGAGAGAGAGAGAGAGAGAGAGAGAGAGAGCCUGAACAAAGAUAAAGGAAUUUUAAGUGACAAAAUUCAACUCAGAGGACAGCUGUGUGCUUUUAUCAACCUCAGCCUCACAUGGUACUGAAGGCCAAGUUGUCUCCAUCAUAAAGUCCCCAGGAUCACAAAUUACUCUAUAGCAGGACCAAGAUUUAGACCCCAUGUCAGCCAAUAGCAAAAUUGGUAUGUUCCUGCCAUCCGGUGCAGCCUCUCAUGAAGACAUAACAAAGUCCAAGGUCAAUGAGGAACUAAUUUUGGCUUCCUUUCCAAGCCACAUAGAGUACUAGUAAUUUAUAUUGAAGUUAAUUUCCAGCAAACUUUGGUAAAGGAAGGGGAAAGUAAGGGAGGAGGAAUUUCCUUACUGAGCAGUCUGACAGUGUAGAUAACUGGAGCUUCUGCAGGGGAACUCUAGGAUCCAGUGUAGAACUUGAAUCUCAGAAUUAUCCCUCCCAAGCGAUGAGAAAGCUAGAUUAACAGUUUGCGACCAUCGAUUGAAAUGAUAUUGGCAGAGGAGGAACACGUUCCUACCCCUUUAACAAAGCUAAGAAAACACCCAGGCAAAGAAAUGCUUGCGCUAGAAGCUGGUUAGACACUAGGUACACGAAGUAUGGGGAAGUGGAGGAAAUGUGGCCAUUCAGACAGUGGAAGAUCCCCAAAGGCAAGGACACUGCUCAAUGUACUCCCGGUUUUCCAACACUACAGACAUAAUAAAUGCUUAAGGAAGAAACAAACAGGGAAAGGCAGGAGGGUGCAAUAGAGGGAGGCAGAGUGGAGUCACUGCACCAUAUCUCUAAGACAGGAAGGAUGAUGUAAGGAGGUGUCUUAUUGAGUCGGAUACCAAGAGAUUUGGAAGGUUUCAGAGCUGGAAAUGACUCGAUGAGAGCAGAGACUUAGGAACAUCAACCCCGUGAGGACAGAGCAAUGAGUAGAAGAUUCCCAGAAGAUUCCCAUAGACAAAGACCGUGUCUGAGUUAUCUCAGUUGCUCAUGAAGAACAACAGCUGCUCACUCUCCCCAGCUGACUCUAAGGUACAGCUGAGAGAGAGAGCUGCUUCUGCCUGGGCACACCCUCAACGGUCAGAGGUCACCCUACACAGAACACAGAACGCAGAACAUCCUUGAUAAAGGAUCAGAGUGCCAGAUUUCCUAUUGUGGCUAGCCAUGUGAUCUUUGAGAGUCAUUUAACCUCUGUAAGCAUUAGUUUCCCCGGAUGUAAGACAGGUAUAAUAAUAAUACGUCUCUCAGUAUGAGAGGCAAAUGAGAUUGUGUGGUCUCUAGAACAGUACCUUGCGUUACGUGCUCACAGCACGUGUUAAUCCAGCCAGGAGAGAACAAGACCACAAUUUCUGAGCCAAAUUUGAAGCAAGUUUUAUUAGCUACUGGCCAGGAAGAUGGACAUUGGCCAGAUCCAUACCCAGGAUUCCCAGCAUCAGGGGGUAUAAAGGCACAAGUACUUCCCACCUCUGUCCAAUCAGGAGCAAGCAAACAUCCUGACGUACUUCCUGCCUUCGUACUUCCCACCUAUGUGUGAUCAAGCCUGCCUGUGCAGCCGGGGAAACCAAGCUUUUUUACAGAAGUGAAAACGUGGGACUUGGAAGCCAAAACACAUGACGUGUUAUCUUGCAUAACCAACAGCCCCCAGCGUUCCAGGAAGUUAUCUGUCCUUGGGCGAGUAGGCAUAUAGGUUAGAGGCAGCUUGAUUGAUUUCUUAAGCACAGUAACGUGCUUAACUUAAAACAUAAAUUUAGCCAUCGCGCAUGUCAGCCGUUUCAUUCGUUAACGAAAGGUUUUUUGAUGGUCAUAAGGAAAAUUUGAAUACUCUGAAAGUACAGGCAAAUGAAAAUAUCAGUCAUUUAAGAAGUGUAAACAAUGGUCAAUAUAAAAAUAAAACAAAACAAACAAAAACCCCCACAAAGUUAUAAAGGAGCGUCCAGCCUCCGUAAAAUUCAAGAUUGCAAAUCAGAACUACUCCUUAAGUUUGCUGUUAAACCAGCACAAAUUAAAUUGGAAGGCUACAGUAAAACCCCAAUGUAAUACGAUAAGUAAAUCAGAAAACUGCAACAGAAGACGAUAGCGAAGGCCGCGUGACUGUCCUGACCAUGAAUCGAUCCCUGACAACACGCUGCAGAAGACGUAUUCCAAGCCGCCAUUGCUGCCUAAUAUUUGUUACUCUAUAAUUGGGAUACAUGCAGACUCACACAGGUUACUGCUGACUAUUAAGUGACUGUCAAAAGU